CAUUUUAACAAUGUUAUUGUAUUAAUUUCAUUUUUUCUAUUAAAUGGCUUUCGAAAAUGAUAAGUACUCCCUCUGAUCCAUAAAAAGUGUCGCCCACUUAGUAAAAAAAUUGUACUAACUUAGUCAUACCCAAUCUUUUAAAAAUGAGAUUGCCUUCGUGAAAGACCCAAGCCUACGGCAAAGUGGGGUUUUCCGGUAGUGAGUCGCCAGCCACGUUUUUUUAUUUUUCUUCUCUCUUGGGUCCCACACUCACAAGUUUUUUUUUUGACGGGCACACACUCACAAGUGACACCCGGUCUUUUAAAAAGUUGUCAAAACCUUCUCCAGCCGGAGGACAGGCAAAUUUCCUUUAGAAAAUUUUCAGUGCUUUGAAGGGAAUUUAGUUAGAGCUGAAGGAUUAGUCAUAGAGGGACGAUAAGAAUUAGCAAGUUGGUUCCCUCAAAAAAGAUUUGUAGCAGCUGCCGGACUCGCACCAGCCCACCGCCGCUCGAGCCUAGCACGAGCCGCCUCCACUG
RNAcentral lists this long non-coding RNA (515 nucleotides) under Brachypodium distachyon (stiff brome). Its description in RNAcentral is "long non-coding RNA (BDIS_LNC004391)". The record is from RNAcentral. Lineage: Eukaryota; Viridiplantae; Streptophyta; Magnoliopsida; Poales; Poaceae.